AGUGUCGGUCGGAUCAUCGCUCUGCCACUAAGGGCAGGGAGGAAAGUCCGAACUCCAGAGGGCACCGCACUUCCUAACGGGAAGGCAUCGCAUGGCGAUGACGGCAAGUGCAACAGAAAACAGACCAGCCGAUGGGUUCAGCAAUGAGCCACAGGUGAUGGAUGAAACGGUGAGGGUAAGAGCCCACCAGCAUUCCGGGUGACCGGGGUGGCUAGGUAAACCCUGCGGGGAGCAAGGUCAAGCAGCAUCGUGUGCCCGAUUGGGCACAUCGGCGGCCCGUCGAAUCACCGAUGCGGGUAGACCGCUAGAGGUCGUCGGUGACGGCGGUCCCAGACAGAUGAUGAUCUCCUCGGCCAGCUGCCUUGCAGCGGUGGCUUCCGGGUAGACAGAAUUCGGCUUACAGGUCGGCACACGCU
Molecule: RNase P RNA, 416 nt
Filed under: Bacteroidota bacterium
Lineage: Bacteria; Pseudomonadati; Bacteroidota
Description: RNase P RNA component class A
Rfam family: Bacterial RNase P class A
About the family: Ribonuclease P (RNase P) is a ubiquitous endoribonuclease, found in archaea, bacteria and eukarya as well as chloroplasts and mitochondria.
Source: RNAcentral